UAAAAGUAGUACACAAGUAUACUAAACACGGCGCCGGUACUCGACUACAACAACUCGAAUUUCGUUACGAUUUUUUUUCGUAGUCUGGCGAAUGUAUGCGAAUCGACGUUGAUUAAUUAUUAUUAUUCGUAUGUAGAGUGAAAAUAGGUUUUUGGAGUAGGUUGUUGCGGUGUACAAUUAUCGUGGCCGCCGACUCGGUGACGUUCAA
Cinara cedri is the source of this 208-nucleotide non-coding RNA. NCBI's taxonomy places the organism in Eukaryota, Metazoa, Arthropoda, Insecta, Hemiptera, Aphididae. The record is from the annotation of a GenBank genome assembly.